GAUGAACGCUGGCGGCGUGCCUAAUACAUGCAAGUCGAGCGAACGGACGAGAAGCUUGCUUCUCUGAUGUUAGCGGCGGACGGGUGAGUAACACGUGGAUAACCUACCUAUAAGACUGGGAUAACUUCGGGAAACCGGAGCUAAUACCGGAUAAUAUUUUGAACCGCAUGGUUCAAAAGUGAAAGACGGUCUUGUUGUCACUUAUAGAUGGAUCCGCGCUGCAUUAGCUAGUUGGUAAGGUAACGGCUUACCAAGGCAACGAUGCAUAGCCGACCUGAGAGGGUGAUCGGCCACACUGGAACUGAGACACGGUCCAGACUCCUACGGGAGGCAGCAGUAGGGAAUCUUCCGCAAUGGGCGAAAGCCUGACGGAGCAACGCCGCGUGAGUGAUGAAGGUCUUCGGAUCGUAAAACUCUGUUAUUAGGGAAGAACAUAUGUGUAAGUAACUGUGCACAUCUUGACGGUACCUAAUCAGAAAGCCACGGCUAACUACGUGCCAGCAGCCGCGGUAAUACGUAGGUGGCAAGCGUUAUCCGGAAUUAUUGGGCGUAAAGCGCGCGUAGGCGGUUUUUUAAGUCUGAUGUGAAAGCCCACGGCUCAACCGUGGAGGGUCAUUGGAAACUGGAAAACUUGAGUGCAGAAGAGGAAAGUGGAAUUCCAUGUGUAGCGGUGAAAUGCGCAGAGGUAUGGAGGACACCCAGUGGCGAAGGCGACUUUCUGGUCUGUAACUGACGCUGAUGUGCGAAAGCGUGGGGAUCAAACAGGAUUAGAUACCCUGGUAGUCCACGCCGUAAACGAUGAGUGCUAAGUGUUAGGGGGUUUCCGCCCCUUAGUGCUGCAGCUAACGCAUUAAGCACUCCGCCUGGGGAGUACGACCGCAAGGUUGAAACUCAAAGGAAUUGACGGGGACCCGCACAAGCGGUGGAGCAUGUGGUUUAAUUCGAAGCAACGCGAAGAACCUUACCAAAUCUUGACAUCCUUUGACAACUCUAGAGAUAGAGCCUUCCUCUUCGGGGGACAAAGUGACAGGUGGUGCAUGGUUGUCGUCAGCUCGUGUCGUGAGAUGUUGGGUUAAGUCCCGCAACGAGCGCAACCCUUAAGCUUAGUUGCCAUCAUUAAGUUGGGCACUCUAAGUUGACUGCCGGUGGCAAACCGGAGGAAGGUGGGGAUGACGUCAAAUCAUCAUGCCCCUUAUGAUUUGGGCUACACACGUGCUACAAUGGACAAUACAAAGGGCAGCGAAACCGCGAGGUCAAGCAAAUCCCAUAAAGUUGUUCUCAGUUCGGAUUGUAGUCUGCAACUCGACUACAUGAAGCUGGAAUCGCUAGUAAUCGUAGAUCAGCAUGCUACGGUGAAUACGUUCCCGGGUCU
This 1372-nucleotide ribosomal RNA is filed under the name uncultured bacterium. RNAcentral describes it as "bacterial SSU rRNA". It matches the Rfam family "Bacterial small subunit ribosomal RNA", at positions 28 to 1381 of the family's 1533-position model. The record is from RNAcentral.